GAGAAAGGAAAAAAUACAAGCUCAAGAGGAAGGAAAAGAACACAAAGUAGCAAGAUGAAGGAGCAUGUUGAGCAUCUUUUGCAGAUAGCUAAGAGGAAAAAAUCAAAACAGAUUCUAGAUGAAAAUGGUGAUAUUGACUUCCCUGUGAUUAGAACUCACAUUCAUAAACAAGAAAGGGCAGAUCUACAUCUGAAAGAUUCCAUGGUUGACAUUCUGUAACGUGAGGGGCCUGCACAAGCAAUGCCUGUAAUUGUAGAGGAAAUGCCAGAAGAAAGUUACUUUGUUGCAGA
This is a long non-coding RNA of Lolium rigidum, 290 nucleotides long. RefSeq lists it as uncharacterized. The transcript is spliced from 3 exons. NCBI's taxonomy places the organism in Eukaryota, Viridiplantae, Streptophyta, Magnoliopsida, Poales, Poaceae. The record is from RefSeq and is a predicted model, not a curated record.